RNAcentral lists this ribosomal RNA (258 nucleotides) under Burkholderia sp. ISO447_OTU58. RNAcentral describes it as "partial 16S ribosomal RNA". It matches the Rfam family "Bacterial small subunit ribosomal RNA", at positions 30 to 289 of the family's 1533-position model. RNAcentral also lists the same sequence under 31 other names. Lineage: Bacteria; Pseudomonadati; Pseudomonadota; Betaproteobacteria; Burkholderiales; Burkholderiaceae. The record is from RNAcentral.
UUGAACGCUGGCGGCAUGCCUUACACAUGCAAGUCGAACGGCAGCACGGGGGCAACCCUGGUGGCGAGUGGCGAACGGGUGAGUAAUACAUCGGAACGUGUCCUGUAGUGGGGGAUAGCCCGGCGAAAGCCGGAUUAAUACCGCAUACGAUCUACGGAAGAAAGCGGGGGAUCGCAAGACCUCGCGCUAUAGGGGCGGCCGAUGGCAGAUUAGCUAGUUGGUGGGGUAAAGGCCUACCAAGGCGACGAUCUGUAGCUG